GGUUCAUUCAAAUUUCUUCCCUAUCAACUUUCGAUGUUUGGGUAGUGGCCAAACAUGGUUGCAACGGGUAACGGAGGGUUAGGGCUCGACCCCGGAGAAGGAGCCUGAGAAACGGCUACUACAUCCAAGGAAGGCAGCAGGCGCGCAAAUUACCCAAUCCCGACCGGGGAGGUAGUGACAAUAAAUACUAAUACAGGGCUCUUUUGGGUCUUGUGAUUGGAAUGAGUACAAUUUAAAUCCCUUAACGAGGAACAAUUGGAGGGCAAGUCUGGUGCCAGCAGCCGCGGUAAUUCCAGCUCCAAUAGCGUAUAUUAAAGUUGUUGUGGUUAAAAAGCUCGUAGUUG
RNAcentral lists this ribosomal RNA (344 nucleotides) under uncultured fungus. RNAcentral's name for it is "SSU rRNA". It matches the Rfam family "Eukaryotic small subunit ribosomal RNA", at positions 292 to 636 of the family's 1831-position model. The record is from RNAcentral. Lineage: Eukaryota; Fungi.